AGCAAAUGUGCCACGUCAAGACUGGAAAUCACAGCCCUUGAGUGUGUCUCAGUCAGUGCAGCAGAAUUCUGGGGGGAGAGCCGAAAGCUACCCCUGGUGCAGGAAGGGAGGCUUUUCCCAAAGACCGGGAGAGGAUUUUAAGUGCAUAGAUGGAAGCUUCUGGAGAUCCUGCUCCGUCGCCCCAGUGUUCAGACUACCUGUUCAGGACAAUGCCGUUGUACAGUAGUCUGCACAUUGGUUAGACUGGGCAAGGGAGAGCAACGCUGUGGACGUCCGGGGACCAAAGUGGCUGUUUCCAAGGAGAAGACUUUUGUCUGCUUUUUCAAAUCUCACGCCCAGUGUUUUUCUUCACAGGUUUUGCACACUAGGGACCCAGAAGCCCUCGGGGACACUGCUGAGAAAGGACCGCUCGAAAGAAGACCUGUGGGUAAGGCCUUCUUGAGUGCUCACCUGGUCUGUGCCCAGGAGAACCGAGGUGGGGAGCCAAGGGCCUGCGAGGGAAACGGAGGGCUCCGUGUGGUGGGGAGCAGCGCGGCCACCCUCGAGGGAGGAGCAGCCUGGGGUACAGAGCGAUUUAUUGUAUGCUAUUUGAUUUCUGAAGACUCAUACGUCAAGUAUUUCCUUAAGUUCAAAGAUUUUCCCACUUCCAACCGAAACAUGAAAACACUCGAAACACUUCAGAGUAAUUUAAUGAGGCUGGUUUUUAAUUGUUGAACUUAAUAAUCCAAGGGCCUAAAAACUUAUCUGAGUAAGGGCUGCAGUAGAAAUUUUAACAUCCCAGGAUUGAAUCCAUUUUGCCUCCAAGUAAAGACUAUCUGCUAUUUGUAAAAUGCUAUCCGAACAGUGCUUUUUGGGAAAAUUUACUUACAUACUAUAUACUAUAAAUACCAGGAAUAGUAGUAUCUAACAAUAAAAGUAGAGGCUGCCAAGGUUUUGCCCACCAGACAAGGCAGACGGGACUGACCCAGAAAGAGCGCCAACCCAGAACUUAGUGAGUCAGCAACUGAUUAAGUCGGAGAAUAGCAGACACCUCUGUCUACAGAUACCCCACUACGUAUCUCUGUGGUACAGUUUUAUUUUUUUUUAAUCUGAAAAUGGUUGAUAAUUGCUGGUCAGCGGAGACCUCAUGCCGCUGCUAUUUUACGAUGCUGCUAUUUCCACGAGCAUUUAAAAUGAUAAGGCACUUUGUCUAGAAACCCGCUGAUAAAAAAGGAAUUUGUAAACAAAGGCACAGUUUUCUUUGGUCCGUUUCCAGCUGUCCUGGAGGUGAAGGGGGGUGGGGAGAAGGUGGGAGGGAGGAAAUCCCUCAAGCUGAAUGAAAUCCCAAUAGCGAGAAGAACAGAGAAAGUCUGGUUGCAACGUGAUCCAUGCUGCACUGUAAAGGUGGGCCUCCUAAAGAAAGUUCUGGAAGAAUGUUACUGCCUCACCCCUAAUUCCCUCAACCUCCAUUUUAUAGAACUAUUUUAUAUAAUGAAAACAUCUGUUCUAUAGGCUUUUAUGAAAAAAUGAAGAGCUCUCUUUUGUCCUCCUUUAAAUUCCUUAAAAUUACAGCAGUUCCUGAACAAAUCCUUUUCUAAAUGGUACAUUUUGUAACAAUCUAAAAAUUGUAACAAGUUCUCUUUUGUGAAACAUUUUAUGACAAAAAAGUUUCCCCAAGUUAUCUUUCGUGAAAACGAUUUACUUUUUAAACUACCCUUUUGAUCAUCCCCAAACUGGUAUAAAGAACAUAUAGGCUAUCUCUUCUAUUCAUACUUUUUAUUUGAAAAAAAGCAAGGAUAUCUAUUUAGUCAUCUUCUCCACUUCUCCACUUAAAUGAUAUGAUAAAGCCAUCCUUUGUUUUUUCUGUUGUGAUCUGGAAGCCUGCAUAUUAAUCAUUUUUAAUAGAACAAGAGAUAUUUAAAAUAUCCAUAGUUCCUCUUACACAAGGAAACUGAAAACAAACAAACAAACUAUGAGGUAAUCACAGAAGCUUAUUUUCUCAAGAAAUACAUUUUUACUAGUUGAUGCACUUACUAAAGAAGAAAUGUAGCUAUAAAAGACUUUGGCAAUGUUUAAAGUUUUCCGAAAAAUUUUUUUUAGACUAUAAAUGACAGAAUUUCACAGCUUGCUUUCCUUUCAUGUAUAUUUGAUUUAAAUGUCUUUCUUUACAUUAAAUGGCCUUUCUGAUUGUAAGAAACUAUCACUGCUCGCCCACCAAUUCUCUCCCUCAGGACGAACUUUAGUCUGGAGAUAGAGGGGACCCGAUGGUGUCCUUGGCAUAAGUACAGGAAUGGGAACCUUAAGAAUUGAUUUGUAGAGGGUUAGCCUAGGGGUGCCUACAAGUGUUCGGUGGAGUCCCGACAAGCCAUUUUGAUGCAAACUUUUAAAUAAUGAAAAGAAAUCCUACUUACUUUUAAAUCGGAUGGGCUAAAUUCAGGCUCAAAAGUAAAAGCUCACUUUAUAAAGCCCCGUGGACUGAAGGCAGGAUAGGAUGGCCAUUCAUACGCUGGGCUAUACCCCAGCAUGAAUACACAUGUAUCGUAAAAUAACCUGCUCUCUUUCCAGGGUAAUUAGAGCAAUGUUUAACUUUAUUUUGAUAUUACUUUAUAAGGAGAUAUACAAAUAUUUUAGAGGUCAUGGGAUCUAUUCCAGAGGAAACUAACAACAGUGACAUCUUCAACUCAAAUUACCCUUGGAUAUGAUCGUCGCAUGCAUCAUUCCCUUAAUUGAGCAGAGUUAACGGGAUCAGAUUAUUUAUGGGAGAGAGAGGGAAAGCUAUACAGAAUCCCAGUAAUUUUUAAUUUCCACCAAUAUACUCUUUGUAAGUGAAUCACUCUAAAUAUCUUCUUUUACACUGUAUGCAGUACCAAUACCAAAAUACUUUCGUAAGGUAUUUGUUUUUGCAUACUCUGACCUUGUAAUUAUCUAAAUAGCAGCCAAGUUUACUGAUGUUUUUGAUUCUGUUAGGACAAAAAAAAAAAAAAAAAAAGAAAGUUCUCUACUCAGAAUGAUGACCAGAAACAGAAUCAGACAUUUAUUUUCUUGAAAUCAAAUAAAUGGAAAAUUGCUCUUAUCAGCUCUUUGUUGAAACUGUACCAUAUCUAAUCAAUGCAUAAAAGUUCAGACGUGUAGAAAACUGCAUUUUUUUCAGCCUUUCAAAACAUUUUCCUCUCCAUAAAGUUUGUUUGCUAUUUUCUCAGAAUUUUACAGUUAAAGGGAAAUAACUACGCGUUUUCUUCAAAAUUCUUUGGAAAAAGUCCCAAACUCCACACUCCUUGGACAAUAAGGUUUUGUUUUAUUUUUGAAGAAAUCCCACUUACUGGAAUUUUGACUAUCUAAAUGUUUUGUUUUUUAAAGGGCAAGGGAAUUUAUUAAAUACCUCUAUGAAUGUGAAUUGAUCAUUGAUACUAAAAUAGCCAGUAGGAUUAUCCUUGAGCCACCAGAAUUACAUUUUCUAUCUGUGUUUUUAACACCAGUAACUCUUUCUUACAUAAAUUAUAAGAAAAUUUUCCAAGGGGUCUGGUUUUACUCUCUGGAUAUCAAAUGAGGUUUCCUUUCCUAUGUUUAAGAAACUAUUCUGCAACUGUGUGGUACUACCAAUGUCCAAAACAUAUUCUGAACAGCACUGUGGGAAACAACUUUUUAGUUUAUACCCUUUUGAUGCCUGGUAUGGCGCUAUAAUUAAUUAAGAAGAGGAGCGAGUAAGCUCACAACUGCUUCUUAUUUUGGUUUUCACACCCAUAACUAAAAACUUUGCAUUAAAAAGAACGUGAGAAAUUUAAAUACGUUCUCGCUGUUUUAUGACGUAUUGGCAAAAAUCCACCCCCUUGUAAAAAUCCCACUAGCAAAGCAUCUGAUACCAAAGUUGGCUGGUUGAACUGCCAAAGACAUUGGGCUCAUUGAUUAUUUUGAAAAUGGCUGCCGUUUCCAUGUCAAUGACAAGUUUCUUUUUCAUGGGCAGGGCUAUGGCACUUAUCUACCACAAGAAACAUGUAUAAACACAGUCUUUAUCUUUAACUUCAGUAUUAAAAUAUGCAGUUUUUGUGAAGAGGAAAAACAUCUGGUUCAAUUACUCUGAACUCUGACUGCAUGUGGGGCCAGUAAUACUACUAGGAAUUGGAUUUAAGAAUAAACCUUGUGUUUAAUCUUUUUUUUUUCCUGUUUUCUUUUGUUUUUUUCCUUAAAAUUUCAAUGUGAGUUUUCAGUUACGACCAUUCUCCAUGUUAGCACAUUUGGAACCGAUGUAAAAGUGUACUUUCUGAAUAAAGUCAAAAGUCUCACUUGUUUUAGUUCCAUAAUGUCGUAAUGUUUAAUUCUAUUGUGUGUUUCUCUCCCUUUCCCCCUCACCCUCCCAAAUCACCAAAUCUGGAAAACAGACUGAUUGUGUCUGCCCAUGAGCAGAGGAAACCCGAAGGAGCCAAGGGCCUGGCUGGACGGAGUUGCCAUGUGUCUGCCUGUCUACACUUGCUGUGCAGAACAUGCGCUCACCUGUACAGCAGGCACAGACAGGCAGUCACACGGCAACCCAGCCUGAGUGACCAGCAGCCACUGAGCACGAGCAGCCCUCACGCCGCAGCAUCCACACCAAGAGCUGUGGCCAGAGUGAGGGGUGUGGGGGCCUGGGGGUCGGAUCUGUUGGAUGAAUACUUAAUUCGUAUGUACUAUUUUAUUACUAUAUUUUGACUCAAAUAUUGAAACCCACCAAAAGUAAAGUGAGUGGUGCCGAUGAAAUAUAAUAAAACCCAUUUCUGAAAAUGUU
This is a long non-coding RNA of Mustela lutreola (European mink), 4738 nucleotides long. RefSeq lists it as uncharacterized. The record is from RefSeq and is a predicted model, not a curated record. The transcript is spliced from 2 exons. Lineage: Eukaryota; Metazoa; Chordata; Mammalia; Carnivora; Mustelidae.